GGGGGUGAAAGGCUUCGACGAAAUUUAUGAACCAAUCGGAUGCUUAGAGUGGAUGGCCGUUAACCACUAUAAAACCUCGACCAACUUAAUAGGUGCAAAUACGCAACCUAAUUACGCUUUCGCCUAACAUCGUUUAGGUAAGCCAUCCUGCCUUGAUGCUAAAUAAAGGAUUACGGGGUGUUAUAUCUUUAGCUGGACAGCGGUUCAUUGUUUUCCUGUUUCGCUGUUAAGAAUAUGGAAAAAUAGUCUGAAGUUAUUUUGUUGGUUUUUUAGCUUCAAAUGAAAUACCAAACCGACCAUCUAAGUAGAAAUUCAUCGGACCAAAUUUCGGACGGGGUUUCAAUACCCCCACCUCCACAG
This 360-nucleotide transfer-messenger RNA is filed under the name Candidatus Yanofskybacteria bacterium RIFCSPHIGHO2_01_FULL_43_32. It matches the Rfam family "transfer-messenger RNA". Rfam says of the family: Bacterial tmRNA, also known as 10Sa RNA or SsrA, is named for its dual tRNA and mRNA-like properties. RNAcentral also lists the same sequence under 6 other names. Lineage: Bacteria; Candidatus Yanofskyibacteriota. The record is from RNAcentral.